Molecule: ribosomal RNA, 497 nt
Filed under: uncultured bacterium
Lineage: Bacteria
Description: partial 16S ribosomal RNA
Rfam family: Bacterial small subunit ribosomal RNA
Source: RNAcentral
GAUGAACGCUGGCGGCGUGCCUAAUACAUGCAAGUCGAGCGAACAGACGAGGAGCUUGCUCCUCUGACGUUAGCGGCGGACGGGUGAGUAACACGUGGAUAACCUACCUAUCAGACUGGGAUAACUUCGGGAAACCGGAGCUAAUACCGGAUAAUAUAUUGAACCGCAUGGUUCAAUGGUGAAAGACGGUUUUGCUGUCACUUAUAGAUGGAUCCGCGCCGCAUUAGCUAGUUGGUAAGGUAACGGCUUAGCAAGGCAACUAUGCGUAGACGACCGGAGAGGCGGGUAGCCCACACGGGAACUUAGACAGCGUCAAGACUACUACGGGAGGCAGCAGUAGGGAAUCUGCCGCAAUGGGCGAAAGCCUGACGGAGCGACGCCGCGUGAGUGAUGAAGGUCUUGGGAGCGUAAUACUCGGUUAUGAGGGAAGAACAAAUGUGGAAGUAACUAUGCACGUCUUGACGGUACCGAAUAAGAAAGCCCCGGCUAACUACGUG